GUUACCUUGUUACGACUUAGCCCCAGUCAUCGGUUUUGCCCUAGGACGCUCCUUUCGGUUACGUACUUCAGGCACUCCCGACUUCCAUGGCUUGACGGGCGGUGUGUACAAGGCCCGGGAACGUAUUCACCGCGCCAUGGCUGAUGCGCGAUUACUAGCGAUUCCGGCUUCACGGAGUCGAGUUGCAGACUCCGAUCCGAACUGAGACGCACUUUAGAGAUUAGCAUCCUGUCGCCAGGUAGCUGCCCUUUGUAUGCGCCAUUGUAGCACGUGUGUAGCCCAGGACGUAAGGGCCGUGAUGACUUGACGUCGUCCCCUCCUUCCUCACCGCUUGCGCGGGCAGUUCCGUUAGAGUCCCCGACGUUACUCGCUGGCAACUAACGGUAGGGGUUGCGCUCGUUAUAGGACUUAACCUGACACCUCGCGGCACGAGCUGACGACAGCCAUGCAGCACCUUGCAUUUUGUCCGAAGAAGUCCACCUUUCGGCAGAUGUCAAAAUGCAUUUAAGCCCUGGUAAGGUUCCUCGCGUAUCAUCGAAUUAAACCACAUGCUCCACCGCUUGUGCGGGCCCCCGUCAAUUCCUUUGAGUUUCAACCUUGCGAUCGUACUCCCCAGGUGGAUUACUUAUCGCUUUCGCUUAGGCGCCGACAGUAUGUCGCCGACACCGAGUAAUCAUCGUUUACGGCGUGGACUACCAGGGUAUCUAAUCCUGUUUGCUCCCCACGCUUUCGUCCCUGAGUGUCAGUAAUAGUUUAGUAAGCUGCCUUCG
This 770-nucleotide ribosomal RNA is filed under the name uncultured Bacteroidota bacterium. RNAcentral's name for it is "uncultured Bacteroidetes bacterium partial 16S ribosomal RNA". Lineage: Bacteria; Pseudomonadati; Bacteroidota. The record is from RNAcentral.